UUAUUGGGUAUCAAAACCUAAUAGCGAAAUUAACAUAACUUUUUAUGGGAUUAGUUUUUAGAUUAUUUAUAGUCUAUUAAUUCAAUCCCGGGGCGUUCUAUAUAGUUAUGUAUAAUAAUAUUUAUAUUAUUUAUACCUCUAACUAGAGCGUACCUUGAGCAUAUAUGCUGUGACCCGAAAGAUGGUGAACUAUACUUGAUCAGGUUGAAGUCAGGGGAAACCCUGAUGGAAGACCGAAACAGUUCUGACGUGCAAAUCGAUUGUCAGAAUUGAGUAUAGGGGCGAAAGACCAAUCGAACCAUCUAGUAGCUGGUUCCCUCCGAAGUUUCCCUCAGGAUAGCUGGUGCAUUUAAAUAUUAUGUAAAAUAAUCUUAUCUGGUAAAGCGAAUGAUUAGAGGCCUUAGGGUCGAAACGACCUUAACCUAUUCUCAAACUUUAAAUGGGUAAGAACCUCACCUUUCUUGGUAUGAAGGUUGUGGUUGUGAUAUAAUGUGCCCAGUGGGCCACUUUUGGUAAGCAGAACUGGCGCUGUGGGAUGAACCAAACGUAAUGUUACGGUGCCCAAAUUAACAACUCAUGCAGAUACCAUGAAAGGCGUUGGUUGCUUAAAACAGC
This 615-nucleotide ribosomal RNA is filed under the name Ravinia floridensis. Its description in RNAcentral is "eukaryotic LSU rRNA". It matches the Rfam family "Eukaryotic large subunit ribosomal RNA", at positions 691 to 1241 of the family's 3401-position model. The record is from RNAcentral. Lineage: Eukaryota; Metazoa; Arthropoda; Insecta; Diptera; Sarcophagidae.